Long non-coding RNA from Theobroma umbraticum, 1279 nucleotides. RefSeq lists it as uncharacterized. NCBI's taxonomy places the organism in Eukaryota, Viridiplantae, Streptophyta, Magnoliopsida, Malvales, Malvaceae. The record is from RefSeq and is a predicted model, not a curated record.
UUCCUCUUUGGCUCUUUGGCUCUUUGCCUCUUUCUGCCGUCUCUCAUCUCCAGCUUCCAUACUCUCCCCUCUCCAAACUCUCCAAUCUCUAAUUCUCCAUCGUAUUCUCUUCCCCUUCUCUCAUCCGACCCAUCAGACCAUCUCCAUUCUCCAUAGUCUCCUCUAGUGUUCGCCCUCUUCUCUUUCCCUUCUCUCAUCUUUAGCAAGUUGUUGUCCUGUCAUCCUUCACCCUUUGUCCCUUCCCAUAUCAAGUUGAAGAUUUCAAUGAUAAGUGAAAGCGAGAAUCCAGCUCUUGCUCCUAGUGAUGCUACUACGCAGCCUACGCCUAUUGGCAUGCCGUCAUCGUCACCAACACCAACUACACAACAAACCAUAAUUUUUACCAAUGAAAGUGAUGCUGUCAAUUCUAAGAAACGGAAAGCACUUCCACCGAGGUCUGAAGUUUGAAAACAUUUCACCAGAUUCGUCAAUAUUAAGGCUUCAUCAAUUUGUGUGAGUUUGAAAAAAACAAUGGAAGAGUUGCUUGUUGAAUACCAAAAUAACGUACAACCUCCUCUUGAGAAAGUUGGUGACAGUAGCCAAUCCCAAGUGAGCCAAAUUUCAGAAUUUGAUGAUGAUAUUGACUUCAGUGCUAGUGUUGCACUUUUGAAUGAAUUUAAAAGAUACAAGAUUGCACUUGGUAGGGAAGAGGAUAAAUCAAAAUUAGAAAAGUAUUUGAGUUUAAAUGAGCCUGAUGCAACCGAUAGCGAUGACUUUGAUGUUCUCAUUUAGUGGAAACUCAAUAGUCAUAGAUAUCCUACUCUUGCCCUACUGGCGUGUGAUGUAUUAGCGAUUCCUCCAUCCACAGUUGCUUCGGAAUCAGCUUUUAGCCCUGGUGGUCGUGUGCUUAAUGCAUAUAGGAGUUUUUUAAUGCCUAAGAUGGUGCAAGCCCUUAUUUGUGCUCAAGAUUGGCUAUAUGGACCUUCCUAUUAUCUUCAUGACAUUGAGAAUGAUUUGACAGAGCUUGAGAAAGUUGAUGAAGGUUAGUAUUUUAUUUAUAUCAUCAUUUCAUUUUUGUUGUUUUAAUUGUUACUAUAUUAUUGCUUUAUUUCUUACUUUCUUGUUUAUGUAUUUUAAAGUUGUCAAAGAUUGCAGUGGACAAUGUACUUGAUAAUCUUUAAGGUAAUCAAGUAAUGUACUAUUGUUAUCUAUUGCCUGUUUGAAUUUAUAAAAUAUUAAACAUGUUCUAACUUAUUUUUUUUUAAUCUAUUUGAAACUAACGGUUUUUUAUUUAUUUUUU